GAGAUGAUGGGGGGGGGGGUUGGAAAUCAGUGAUGGGGAAAAUGGAUGGAGGCGAGAGGAUUGGGGGGAGGGUGGGCUCUAAUGGCCCAAAGACACAGCUGGCUGCAGGCACCCAAGGACAGAGACGCCGAAAGAGGGAGACGGAGACGGAGAGGGCCCUCGACUGUUCUUUAUGUGGCCUGUGUAGGAAGCACACAGAGCCCUCCCCACAAAGAGACCAGGUGAGAUAAUUGAUGAUAUCAAAUCUGUAAUUUAAUUUCAAAAUUUGCCCCAAGCUUAUCAAUUAUUGGAGCCUCAGGUGACUUUCUGUACCACGUGUGACACUGAGAGCUUUCAGCCCAGUUACCAUGACAACACAUCAGCCAUGUGAUGGUCACAUGGGUCCCACUCUGAUCAUCUUUUGAUCUAAUUUAAAAGCGUUUCUAGUGGUGGAUUAUUUAUAAUCGUUUUUAAAUUGACAUUUAAAAACAAUAAUUUUCUAAGACACAGUUUUUCCAGAGCGGCAGGAGUUCAUUAGAAAUUCGCCUCUGAGUUUUGUCUGGGACCUUUUGCAUGGUGUAAGCCUGCCCACACCUUCCAUCAUCCCUUUGUUUACACGCUCUCCCUCAAGCUUACAGCCACUUACACAUCCAACCUAACAUUACCCGUGCAACCAAAAUGGUGAGCGAUAUUGGAGCUAUCCGGUCGUAAGAGCCAGAUGCCAGCUAAGAUGAGGAAGACAAAGACGUACGUGGAUCUAGUCUUCUACACGUAGAUGCAUGAAGCAUGGAGCGGAGCAGGGAGCUUGUGGCUUGCCGUAGUAGCUUC
This is a long non-coding RNA of Oryzias latipes (Japanese medaka), 807 nucleotides long. RefSeq lists it as uncharacterized. Lineage: Eukaryota; Metazoa; Chordata; Actinopteri; Beloniformes; Adrianichthyidae. The record is from RefSeq and is a predicted model, not a curated record.